RNAcentral lists this ribosomal RNA (422 nucleotides) under uncultured bacterium. Its description in RNAcentral is "bacterial SSU rRNA". It matches the Rfam family "Bacterial small subunit ribosomal RNA", at positions 355 to 774 of the family's 1533-position model. The record is from RNAcentral.
UGAGGAAUAUUGGUCAAUGGGGGCAACCCUGAACCAGCCAAGUCGCGUGAAGGAUGAAGGUCUUAUGGAUUGUAAACUUCUUUUACACGGGAAUAAAGUGGGGGACGUGUCCCCCUUUGCAUGUACCGUGUGAAUAAGGAUCGGCUAACUCCGUGCCAGCAGCCGCGGUAAUACGGAGGAUCCGAGCGUUAUCCGGAUUUAUUGGGUUUAAAGGGUGCGCAGGCGGGAUGUUAAGUCGGCGGUGAAAUUUUGCAGCUCAACUGUAAAAGUGCCUUCGAUACUGGCCUCCUGGAGUGUGGAUGAAGUAGGCGGAAUUUGUGGUGUAGCGGUGAAAUGCUUAGAUAUCACGAGGAACACCGGCGGUGUAGACGGCUUGCUAGACCAUAACUGACGCUGAGGCACGAAAGCGUGGGUAGCAAACA